ACUUCUACUCUUUCUCACAAGCGUCCCAGCCGGUAUCCGUCCUUGAGCCACCCCGCCCCGCCCACACCCCGGCGUACCUGCGCGGCUGAGCUGGAGAGGAACAAGCUUUGCUCCACAGCAGGGCCGAAGGCAAAAUCGCCUCACGCAACUGCGUCCGCACACACGCGUGCUCCGUCGCCGGUCUAUAUAGCUGCGACUCAGCCUAACUUGCUGCGGCCAGGUCGAGCAGGCCUGUGACCAAUCCCGACUGCGUCCUCUGGGCUCUUGGAGCAGCAAUUGGGUACUGCCUCUGGAUGAAGGCGUGGCUCUUGAUUGGCUUAGACUCAUGCCUAUGAGACUAUAGGGAUCUCGUUUCCCUAGUAACGGAUUGGCAGUGAGAAAGACCAAUUACUUAAAGAAACGUCAAAAGGAGGGUGGGGAGGUCUUUGACCGAUACCCAUAGUAGCCAAUAAGUGCGAGGGACCGCUCCCAUUCGAUAAAAUGUGUUUCCCUGGGCGGAGAUCCGUUUUCCAAGCAGGGGCGGUUGCUCCACAAGGUGGGGCCCGUGUACUUUGGGGAAGUAAACCCCAAGCAACAAGGAGGUGGGCGCCAGGGAGGCCAAGGGAGGCCCUGGCCAAUCGCAAAGCGGGGAGGAUCUGAUUGACGCGGGGGCUGGACUGCGCCAAGGAGACCGAGCCCCAGGGCCUCCGUGCCCUCUGGGGUGGUUUUGAGGCUCUUCUGACCCCGACUUCCGUCCUCUUUUCCUUUCUCUCCCUCAUUUGUUGGGUCUGGCCCUGAGGCCCGUCUCCCGCCUUUUCUGCAUUUGGCACCAGGGAAGCCAAGUGGUAAAGUUCCCGUUUGGGGUUUUUUCUUACGGCAACUUUUUUAUUUCCAUGCGGCCACCUAAGGGCACUUGCUGGCUCUCACCAUUAGUCAGCACUAUUGUUGGACAACAGUGAAAAGAACACCAUAGGGGAAAGUAGCGGCCGCCGCGUACCUAAGGUCGUGUAUAAAGGUCGCCCGUGAAAACUGCUGCGGAGUUGGAGAACACAGACGUCCACCCGGCUGUUCGUGCCAAGCGCGGCAGGCCGGCCCCAUGGCGGGCUCGUAGGAGUUCGCUGAGCUCUUCCCUCUCUCUUGCUGCCAAGGAACCGUAGUCUGUAAAGUCUCCGCUCAGCUUGGUCCUUAGUGCAACAUUCUAUGCGUCACCACCAUUGCCAUUCAUUGUUCGAAUUGCUGGGGGAGUAGGGGGCGGGGGGACUUCUUUCGUGCCAUUACUGCUUUAGAAGGUAAUUGUCAAACUCCUACACGGACACCCCAAAGAUUUCCCAAAGCACUUCAGAGGCUAAGUGGUGCUCCAGCCCGGUCCUGUCCACGUCUGUCGGCGUUUUAUUGGGCCCUCUGUUGGUCACCAUGAGCAUUUUGCAAGGAAAUACACAGACGCCUCGGUUAGUUCUCAUUCCAAGCAUGUGGUCUCCCGUUAAGUUUUGCUGAGAAUUUGGUAAAGAAGCACCUGGAGCGUCUCUGUUGGGGGGACCGGCAGCAGCCUGCUGGGACCCCGGCGCGGCCCCAGUCUCUCCCUGCGCGGUUUCUGACCCCCCAGACUGGAGACUCGCGGCCGUCCCAGGAGCCAAAGGAGGGCGUCCCUCUGCCCCCCACCCCCAAGUCCCUGCCGCAUCGGCCUAGCUCAUUCAGCAUUUAUGAGGUUCCGGUUAAGACCUGGGAUCAGAGAUGAUCUGGAGGUCGUCUCUGUUCUCCGUCACCCAUCCCAUAGACUGGGGCACUUUGCUGGAGCCGGAGCACCCAACCAGGCGUCUGGGGCUAAGAAAACAUCGGAUGAAACUCAAACCAGAGAGAGAGCAGCUGAAGUUUUCUGCAGUGCCUGGCAGGAUUGUACUUUCCUGCCCCCUUUAAAGAUCAGCAAGACCACAUGCUCCGCUUUGGCCAAAACAACGUGAGGAGGUGUGACAUAUAUUUCUUCCUGGAAGAGAAGUCUUUGGAGAUGGUGAUUAUUUACUGAGGUCUUCCCCCCCCACCCUAGCCCUCAUAUUCAAUAUCAUCCCAUUUGGGGUCCCUCAACGUGGGACUCUGAACAAAAUUAUUUGCACAGAGCCAUUCCUCCAAAUUGCCCAACAUGCAAUGGUCACAUGACAGGAACAAGAAGUAAAUCUGUUGUGUUAAGCCGC
Suricata suricatta (meerkat) is the source of this 2165-nucleotide long non-coding RNA. RefSeq lists it as uncharacterized. The transcript has 2 exons. The record is from RefSeq and is a predicted model, not a curated record. Lineage: Eukaryota; Metazoa; Chordata; Mammalia; Carnivora; Herpestidae.